Brassica napus (rape) is the source of this 785-nucleotide long non-coding RNA. RefSeq lists it as uncharacterized. The record is from RefSeq and is a predicted model, not a curated record. NCBI's taxonomy places the organism in Eukaryota, Viridiplantae, Streptophyta, Magnoliopsida, Brassicales, Brassicaceae. The transcript has 2 exons.
UCUCUAUAAUUUUUAAUAUAUAUUUAUUAAUUAAUUAUCCUAAUAUCAUGACAAAUAGAUAUAUUAACAUAUAGUUUUAAAUAAUAAUAUUAUACUAAUGACUUAUCCUAUAAUUGUUGAAAAUAUGAUAAAUCAGAAAAAUUACAUUUUAAAUAAUAGCAUAGAUUUGUUAACAAUUCUCUUAAUGAUUUAUGGUUUUAAAUCAAGUUAUCUUAUCUUUAGAGACUAGAUAAAAGAUUCUCUCCGCCUUCUCUCUAGCUAGUUCUUUUGGUUGCUUCCGUCGCUUCUCCGUUUACCCGACUCCGGCUGCUCACUUAGAGCUGGGGUUGGAAUCUGUCUCUCUUUGUCUUCCAUGCUCUCUUUUUGGAUCUUAUUCUCUCAACGGGUUUGACUUCAUUCUAGAACUCGAUCUAGCGUUUUGUCAUUUCUGGAGAGAAUAACAGAGUUUGUUGAGCAUCUGAUGCAUGCAUUAACUAGUCAACCUUGCUGUCACCUUCUCUUCACUCAGAUCCGCUUUUGUUUCGAAUCUACUUCCUUCUGGUUUCUCAAGUCAGUUUCUUACCGUCAUAGCCGUCUCCGGUUGAAGACUUCCGUUCACGAAGUGAGUAUGUCUUGCUGGUGUUUGAAGCUUUGUUCUUAAAUUGUCUGGGCUAUUCACUAUAGGAGGAUUCGCAUGUCGUGGGUUCGGCCAAGAUUGCUUCUGCGAUUUGUCUUUGUUCAAAGGUGUUUCGUUGAUGUCUCGCAUGUUUGUUUCUUUGAAGUUUAUGGAUUUCAUUUGAUAUGUU